GAUGAACGCUGGCGGCGUGCUUAACACAUGCAAGUCGAACGGAAAGGCCUCUGCUUGCUGGGGUACUCGAGUGGCGAACGGGUGAGUAACACGUGGGUGAUCUGCCCUGCACUUCGGGAUAAGCCUGGGAAACUGGGUCUAAUACCGGAUAGGACAAUGGUUUGGAUGCUGUUGUGGAAAGUUUUUCGGUGUGGGAUGAGCUCGCGGCCUAUCAGCUUGUUGGUGGGGUAAUGGCCUACCAAGGCGUCAACGGGUAGCCGGCCGGAGAGGGUGUACGGCCACAAUGGGACUGAGAUACGGCCCAGACUCCUACGGGGGGCAGCAGUGGGGAAUAUUGCACAAUGGGCGCAAGACUGAUGAAGCGACGCCGCGUGGGGGAUGACGGCCUUCGGGUUGUAAACUCCUUUCGCUAGGGACGAAGCGUUUUUGUGACGGUACCUGGAGAAGAAGCACCGGCUAACUACGUG
Molecule: ribosomal RNA, 467 nt
Filed under: uncultured bacterium
Lineage: Bacteria
Description: partial 16S ribosomal RNA
Rfam family: Bacterial small subunit ribosomal RNA
Source: RNAcentral